UUUCCAAGGCUGAUGUUGGCAACACAUAUCUCUACAACCAAGCGAUUUCCUUCGGGUCCUCAUUCUGUUUGGCAAAAGAGAACAGGGGAAAUCCACUCAAGGGCCACCUUUGUAUGCAUUGCUAAUAAGUUCUUUCUUUCCAUUAUAAUCCCAUGGAAAGGGAUGGUACCCCCACAAAGAAAAGAUGGGUCUUUUGGCUAGUGAAGGGUAAUGUUUCUAAAUAAUAUUUGAUUGGUACUUCUGUAUUUAUUUCUUGAGGGGGCGGUGGAAGGAUAAGAAAGGGAAGGUACUUAUUUCUUCCACUUUUAUUUAUGCAAUAUGGAUAACCCUGAAUUGGUUAGUUCGUCUUC
Molecule: long non-coding RNA, 350 nt
Organism: Cucurbita maxima (winter squash)
Lineage: Eukaryota; Viridiplantae; Streptophyta; Magnoliopsida; Cucurbitales; Cucurbitaceae
Exons: 2
Source: RefSeq, a predicted model, not a curated record